UGCGUAGGUGGUUAAGUAAGUUAUCUGUGAAAUCCCUGGGCUCAACCUGGGCAGGUCAGAUAAAACUGCAUAACUCGAGUAUGGGAGAGGGUAGUGGAAUUUCCGGUGUAGCGGUGAAAUGCGUAGAGAUCGGAAGGAACACCAGUGGCGAAGGCGGCUACCUGGCCCAAUACUGACACUGAGGCACGAAAGCGUGGGGAGCAAACA
This 207-nucleotide ribosomal RNA is filed under the name uncultured bacterium. RNAcentral describes it as "partial 16S ribosomal RNA". It matches the Rfam family "Bacterial small subunit ribosomal RNA", at positions 568 to 774 of the family's 1533-position model. The record is from RNAcentral.